UAGUGGCGAACGGGUGAGUAACACGUGAGCAAUCUGCCCCUGACUCCGGAAUAACUACGGGAAACUGUAGCUAGUACCGGAUAUGCGCCGAACAGGCAUCUGUAUCGGUGGGAAAGAAUUUCGGUCAGGGAUGAGCUCGCGGCCUAUCAGCUUGUUGGUGAGGUAACGGCUCACCAAGGCGACGACGGGUAGCCGGCCUGAGAGGGUGACCGGCCACAUUGGGACUGAGACACGGCCCAGACUCCUACGGGAGGCAGCAGUGGGGAAUAUUGCACAAUGGGCGCAAGCCUGAUGCAGCAACGCCGCGUGAGGGAUGACGGCCUUCGGGUUGUAAACCUCUUUUAGCAGGGAAGAAGCGAAAGUGACGGUACCUGCAGAAAAAGCGCCGGCUAACUACGUGCCAGCAGCCGCGGUAAUACGUAGGGCGCAAGCGUUGUCCGGAAUUAUUGGGCGUAAAGAGCUCGUAGGCGGUCUGUCGCGUCUGCUGUGAAAUCCCGAGGCUCAACCUCGGGCUUGCAGUGGGUACGGGCAGACUAGAGUGCGGUAGGGGAGAAUGGAAUUCCUGGUGUAGCGGUGGAAUGCGCAGAUAUCAUGAGGAACACCGAUGGCGAAAGGCAGUUUCUCUGGGCCGUAACUGACGCUGAUGAGCUAAAGCCGUGGGGAGCGAACAGGGAUUUAGAU
Molecule: ribosomal RNA, 681 nt
Filed under: uncultured bacterium
Lineage: Bacteria
Description: bacterial SSU rRNA
Rfam family: Bacterial small subunit ribosomal RNA
Source: RNAcentral